UCUCCCGUGAGGGAGCAGUCUCGCCUGACAUAUAAAACAGACAACGGGGGUUGCGUUCGUUUCCCCACUUAAGGGAACAGCUCAAGCCACGAACUGACGACGACCAUGCAUCACCUGCCUAGCACCCUCGAAGGCUCCUCUGGUUUCCCAAAGGAUGCAGCUAGGUUUCAAGCCCUGGUAAGGUUCUUCGCUUACCGACGAAUUAAGCCACAUGAUCCACCGCUUGUGCGAGUUCCCGUCUAUUCCUUUGAGUUUUAGCCUUGCGGCCGUACUACCCAGGCGGUUCCCUUAACGCGUUAGCUUCGCCACAAAGAGGGUCGAUACUCCUUAUAGCCAGGGAACAUAGUUUAGGGCGUGGACUAC
RNAcentral lists this unclassified non-coding RNA (363 nucleotides) under uncultured bacterium. RNAcentral's name for it is "contains 16S-23S intergenic spacer region". The record is from RNAcentral.